UUGCCAGCCCGCUCAGAAACUUAAAGGAAUUGACGGGGGCCGCACAAGCGGCGGAGCAUGUGGAUUAAUUCGAUGCAACGCGAAGAACCUUACCUGGGUUUGACAUACACCGGAAAACCGUAGAGAUACGGUCCCCUUGUGGUCGGUGUACAGGUGGUGCAUGGCUGUCGUCAGCUCGUGUCGUGAGAUGUUGGGUUAAGUCCCGCAACGAGCGCAACCCUUGUCUUAUGUUGCCAGCACGUAAUGGUGGGGACUCGUAAGAGACUGCCGGGGUCAACUCGGAGGAAGGUGGGGACGACGUCAAGUCAUCAUGCCCCUUAUGUCCAGGGCUUCACACAUGCUACAAUGGCCAGUACAGAGGGCUGCGAGACCGUGAGGUGGAGCGAAUCCCUUAAAGCUGGUCUCAGUUCGGAUCGGGGUCUGCAACUCGACCCCGUGAAGUCGGAGUCGCUAGUAAUCGCAGAUCAGCAACGCUGCGGUGAAUACGUUCCCGGGCCUU
Molecule: ribosomal RNA, 499 nt
Filed under: uncultured Rhodococcus sp.
Lineage: Bacteria; Bacillati; Actinomycetota; Actinomycetes; Mycobacteriales; Nocardiaceae
Description: bacterial SSU rRNA
Rfam family: Bacterial small subunit ribosomal RNA
Source: RNAcentral